Ictalurus punctatus (channel catfish) is the source of this 2858-nucleotide long non-coding RNA. NCBI's taxonomy places the organism in Eukaryota, Metazoa, Chordata, Actinopteri, Siluriformes, Ictaluridae. The record is from Ensembl.
AAAAAGAGUCACUUCCUCUGUUUUCCGCUGCAUACAACUGGAGUCUGUGUCAGUAAAAUGUUAAAUAACUGUAUAAUUACAGAAAACUUUACCAUAUCGACGGUUACCUUUAAUCAGUCUUAGGUUUUGUUCAGAUCUUCCUCCAUACAAGUCCCUGUGAAAUGAGCUGUUACUAUGGAAAUGAUAACGGUUAACAUAAACCCGCACUCUUAUUUAGAGAGCAUUCUGACCAAUCAGAAUCGAGAAUUCACCACUGCUGCGGUAUAAAACACGAUGUCGUCUCGUCUCGUUCACAUCUUUCAACAUGUAUUCUAUUUGUUUUCGUUUCUUAUAUUCCUUUAUUCCAAGUCACGCUGUGGUUCCUCUGGACGUCUCGCUGGGACGGUCAGUGUGUUAAAACAAGCAAGGGCUGUUACUGCAUCGUGCCAUCUGUCAACUUGAGCACGUUUAACGAGGCAGAAAUGGUGCGAGGCAGUUGCUUCAUUUUGCAAAUUCACACUCGAUCCAUUCCAUGUAUUUUUAAAAAAAAAUUUUAUUAUUAUUAUUUUUUUAAACACUCAAGGGCCAAACAUUUUUAUUUCUAUUUUUCAUGUAAAUAGUGUUAAGUGUUGGGGUUUUUUUUGUUUUGUUGGGGUUUUUUUCCCCCUGUUGUGGUGUGUUCAGUGGAGGCAGGCACCUCACGGGUUCUGCCAUUAGAGUCUUAUAUGAAAGUACUGCACAGUUUUUGUUUUUUUUUUUCCUUUCCUAAAGGACACUACGCCUGUUUGUGAACGCACUUUGUUCCUCGUUCGUUUGCCCUGAACGGAUGAUGCCUUUCGCUACCGCAGUGUAAACAUUCGCUACGACGAUAAUCUCUACGGCCUAAUUAUAAAAGGUGGCUUCUUUUGUGCUAAUGCUUUGGGGAGCCUUUACAGUUUCUUUGUAUUCGUGGCUUUGUUCCCACAUCAGCAAUAACCGCUUCCCAGUAUAGCGUCUCACGAGGUAACCGGAAAAACAUGCACUGGACCAAAAAAAAAAAAAGGUUGAUCAUGUGACUUUGAGAGUAGAUAUAAAUAUUAGCUUCUUGGACACAAAAUAAGUCUCUUGUGCGAGAUCUAAUACUUGAUUUAAGCCCAUCCAAUGGCUUAAAGGGGUGCCAACAUUUAUGAUUUAUGCUAUAGUGUUAUUGGAACGACUUGAGAAUUACUUUCCCGUUUUAUUCGCCUGCCACAAAAGCUGAUUCACUGAAAGGGAAACGACAAGUUUCGCUUCUAGCAGCAGUUAUGUUCCCUUUUAUUUUGGCGACCUUUGACCUGUGAAUACAUGCGUCUCUAUCUUGUAAACCAAAGGAAAGCGAGAAGGCAGGGAUUACGGUCUCUUUGGUUGGAUAAAGAAGCAGUUGCUCUGAGAAAGUAAACCGCUGACAAGUUCUGUUUCUUUAGGGUUUUCUUGUUAGCAAUGUUGGCACCGCUGCUUCAACCUUAAAGUAAAUAUCUCAAGUAACUGAGAUAGGUAAAGUACAAAACUCAAACGGGCAUAAAUAUUAGCUCCCUAGAAAGAAAACAUAACCCACCUGUCCUGUCAGGUGAGGAUGCCUCUUAUCAAAUUGUAGUCUGUGGAUUGCUAAUUGUAGUCUGUGGAUCGGUGUUUUACUCUGCUAUCGUAAAGGAGUCAGUUUUAUAAGCACUUGAGGGUCGGUGAGGCUUGUCGAACAACUCCCAGACAGAUCUAAACGGCAGUCGUUAUAUUUGUCCUGAUGCACAAGCUAUAGACAUAAAGCAGCGAUGUUAAUGAACAGGAAAUUCAGGUUCAGUUUUUCUGAGUUUGUUUCACUUUUCCAGUUUCCAGGUUAUUCCAGGUCAGAAGUUCACAUGGUUCUUACAGACACAGUGCCUUAGAAGGCUGAGUUAUUUACAAGUGUGACGCCACAAACUCGUCUGAUCAUUACUUCACUGCUUGUUUUUUUUCCCAGAUGUAGAAUUUUCUAGAACUGAAUUUCUCUACGCUUUAAAGACAACAUGAAAUACAUAAUUCACGGAUGCAUUAAAAAAAAAAAAAUUCCCCACAAUGUGACACAUUUUCGAUCAAUUUGAAGGGGUGGGACUUGUUUUAUGGGAUCUGAUUGGCUUGGUAAAAGUGAGCGUUCCAAAGCAAGAACACUAGCAUGCAGUUGAUCGUAGAGGAAAGCUUGCUUCCCAGCACGUAAGGAUACGAGAGAGAGGAAAUCCCGCUAGCGCUGAAGAAGAACAAGAGGUGAUUUCGCUCCAGGAGCGCGGCCAUGUUUGUUAGAAUUGGACGAUCAACCAGCCAGUGUGGAACUCAUGGAGUAUCAUGGCAAACUAAUGAUCACUAUUUAUUGGCACUGUUUGUGCUAAUGUAGACCAGAUGUAAUUGUUUUUGCCCCCACUCUUCUGUUCCUUAUUCAUUCCAGAUAUUAAUCUUGUACCUCUGCACUCUUGGGUUAUUUAUAUUUGUGUGUGUGUGUGUGUAAUGUUUGCUCUGUUUGUGUAUAAAGGGUUCGGGCAGCGCCCAUCAUUAUGCGAUGUGUAAAGCGGCACAUCUGGAGCAGGGAUCUGUACAGUCGUGUAGGGCUGCACGGGUUUCUCCGUGGCAAUCAGCCUUUGUUAUUGAAUGGUUUUUGGGGAAACACAUGAGAUACAUUAUUCAUUUUACAGUGUUGACUAAAAUGAUUAUAACAGUGAUGAAUCUGAUGAUUGUGUGUCUGGAUGACUGAUGCUUUGCACCCAUCUUUGUGUAAACGCACUGUGGUGUGCUCUCACUGCUGGACCUUCAUGAAAGAAAUGUUUUACUGUGCGAAUAAAGAAUGGUGAAACCAACGACAUGGCGUGUCAUUUCUAUUUCAUGGAUUUAUGAACCCC